GACGAACGCUGGCGGCGUGCUUAACACAUGCAAGUCGAACGGAAAGGCCCUGCUUUUGUGGGGUUCUCGAGUGGCGAACGGGUGAGUAACACGUGAGUAACCUGCCCUUGACUUUGGGAUAACUUCAGGAAACUGGGGCUAAUACCGGAUAGGAGCUCCUGCUGCAUGGGGGGGGUUGGAAAGUUUCGGCGGUUGGGGAUGGACUCGCGGCUUAUCAGCUUGUUGGUGGGGUAGUGGCUUACCAAGGCUUUGACGGGUAGCCGGCCUGAGAGGGUGACCGGCCACAUUGGGACUGAGAUACGGCCCAGAAUCCUACGGGAGGCAGCAGUGGGGAAUAUUGCACAAUGGGCGGAAGCCUGAUGCAGCAACGCCGCGUGCGGGAUGACGGCCUUCGGGUUGUAAACCGAUUUCGCCUGUGACGAAGCGUGAGUGACGGUAAUGGGUAAAGAAGCACCGGCUAACUACGUG
Molecule: ribosomal RNA, 468 nt
Filed under: uncultured bacterium
Lineage: Bacteria
Description: partial 16S ribosomal RNA
Rfam family: Bacterial small subunit ribosomal RNA
Source: RNAcentral